GCACUACUGAGGAGUCCCACAACAGGACGAAACGGCCAUCCAGCAC
RNAcentral lists this non-coding RNA (46 nucleotides) under Schistosoma margrebowiei. Lineage: Eukaryota; Metazoa; Platyhelminthes; Trematoda; Strigeidida; Schistosomatidae. The record is from RNAcentral.